AGAACGAACGCUGGCGGCAUGCCUAAUACAUGCAAGUCGAACGAAUGCCCUUCGGGGUGUUAGUGGCGCACGGGUGCGUAACGCGUGGGAAUCUGCCCUUGGGUUCGGAAUAACAGUUAGAAAUGACUGCGUAAUACCGGAUGAUGACGUAAGUCCAAAGAUUUAUCGCCCAGGGAUGAGCCCGCGUAGGAUUAGCUAGUUGGUGGGGUAAUGGCUCACCAAGGCGACGAUCCGUAACUGGUCUGAGAGGAUGAUCAGUCACACUGGAACUGAGACACGGUCCAGACCUCCGUACGGGA
RNAcentral lists this ribosomal RNA (299 nucleotides) under uncultured soil bacterium. Its description in RNAcentral is "partial 16S ribosomal RNA". It matches the Rfam family "Bacterial small subunit ribosomal RNA", at positions 26 to 346 of the family's 1533-position model. The record is from RNAcentral.